Microplitis mediator is the source of this 424-nucleotide long non-coding RNA. RefSeq lists it as uncharacterized. The transcript has 3 exons. The record is from RefSeq and is a predicted model, not a curated record. Lineage: Eukaryota; Metazoa; Arthropoda; Insecta; Hymenoptera; Braconidae.
UCCUAUUACAGAAAGACUAUAACAAGUUUUGCUACAACAAUUGUCGCCAUAUUGGCACUUAAAUAAAAUAUAGUGGGGAAAAUUGAUAUAAAUAGCCGUUUAGAUCACUAGUAAUCCAUAAAGUAAUUGAUCAAAGUAUCGAUAGCUUCUGAAUAAAUUAUAGCAAAGGCUUUACUCAACUACUAUACGAGAUGUUUAACAUGAAGAUAUUUUUGUUGGCAGUUUUGGUAGUGGCUUUGUUUGCUGCCGGAAGCUAUGCAUGCACAUCAGAAGGCAGCUUUUGCGCAGUUGACUCGGUUUGUUGCAGCGGUAGAUGUAAAAGACUUACGAGCACAUGUGAAGGAUAAUAAUCUCUAUUCUAAAAAUGAAUUAGUGAAAAUCACCUGACAAUCACUAUUGAAAUAAAUUUUAUUUAAAAAGAAAA